Molecule: long non-coding RNA, 915 nt
Organism: Lycium ferocissimum
Lineage: Eukaryota; Viridiplantae; Streptophyta; Magnoliopsida; Solanales; Solanaceae
Exons: 7
Source: RefSeq, a predicted model, not a curated record
UCUCUCAUUCUCCGGGUUUAUUUUUCAAUGCUCCUUUUUUUUUCUUUUUCGAUUUCAUGUUAUUUUCUUAUAUUGCUCGAUGUAAUUUGAGUUUUUGGUUUAAUUUUGUUACAGGUUUUUUAUGCUAAUUGUUGCUGAUGAAUAUUUGCCCUAUCUAUCACUUAUAUUCUCUUGCUCGAUUCUUAUUUUUCUGAUCUGGCACAAGGGCUUCGAGGGUACAAUAAUCUUUGUGCUAAGCAUUUCUAAUCAAUUGCCUCCAUAGCGCAGUGAGGGCGGGUUGUGUGAUUCGGCAAGCUUUGGGACGACGGAGAGCCACAAGGUACAAGGGAGAAGCAUUUGGAAGAAAACUGCUCGCACAUAUGGUUCUUUUACUGUAUAAGGCUCGCCUUUUUCCUCUAAGACCAUAUGCAGAGAAUUUGGCAUAACUACGUAGAUUUCAAGCAUGGCUUUGGAGGUGUGCAUUUUAUAUUUGGUCCGUCGAGCACUUAACAUUGUUCAGACGAGGACAUUUUGACAGAUGAUCAGGAGGAAGUGCAAUGUUGGAGGGAUUCAUUUAGUGAAGAAAGCAAAAUAGUAUAAUAUAAUUUGCCAAGUGGUUACAAUGGGAUGAUGAGCUAACAAUAUUGGAUGUUCGCAAGUUUAAGCCUAUUCAAAAGGCAAGUUCAAUUACGAGUGGAUACCCAGCUGAAAUACGUGUUGUCAACCGCAACGGCUAAAAUCCAGAUUUCAUGCAAUUGUAACAUAGUUCAUACAUAAGAUGGUGGACCGCCUACAUGAUCAUGAACAAUCUCGCUGUUUUUGUCUUUCUAGCAGGUUCAACAAUGUACUUCUAUAACUUUGUUCCCCAAAUGAAUGUACAUAGUAUGAAGCAUAUCAUGUUAAUAUUUAGUUUAAUGACAUUUGUUUAUUUGGAUA